CCUACGGGGGACAGCAGUGAGGAAUAUUGGUCAAUGGGCGCGAGCCUGAACCAGCCAAGUAGCGUGAAGGAUGACUGCCCUACGGGUUGUACACUUCUUUUAUCAAGGAAUAAAGUGAGGCACGUGUGCCUUUUUGUGUGUACUUUAUGAAUAAGGAUCGGCUAACUCCGUGCCAGCAGCCGCGGUAAUACGGAGGAUCCGAGCGUUAUCCGGAUUUAUUGGGUUUAAAGGGAGCGUAGAUGGGUUGUUAAGUCAGUUGUGAAAGUUUGCGGGUCAACCGUAACAUUGCGAUUGAUACUGGCAGCCUUGAGUACAGUAGAGGUAGGCGGAAUGCGCGGUGUAGCGGUGAAAUGCUUAGAUAUCACGAAGAACUCCGAUUGCGAAGGCAGCCUACUAACCUGCCACUGACAUUGAUGCUCGAAAGUGUGGGUAUCAAACAGGAUUAGAUACCCGGGUAGUC
RNAcentral lists this ribosomal RNA (460 nucleotides) under uncultured bacterium. RNAcentral's name for it is "partial 16S ribosomal RNA". It matches the Rfam family "Bacterial small subunit ribosomal RNA", at positions 338 to 795 of the family's 1533-position model. The record is from RNAcentral.